This is a non-coding RNA of Picea glauca (white spruce), 121 nucleotides long. NCBI's taxonomy places the organism in Eukaryota, Viridiplantae, Streptophyta, Pinopsida, Pinales, Pinaceae. The record is from Rfam.
ACAUGCCUACAACAUAGCGUUAAUGCACCAGAUCCCAUUAGAACUCCGCAUUUAAGAACGCUUGGGCUAGAGUAGUACUGGGAUGGGUGACCGCCUGAGAAGUCCUAUUAUUUUACAUGCC